RNAcentral lists this long non-coding RNA (1763 nucleotides) under Olea europaea (common olive). RNAcentral's name for it is "long non-coding RNA (OEUR_LNC003301)". Lineage: Eukaryota; Viridiplantae; Streptophyta; Magnoliopsida; Lamiales; Oleaceae. The record is from RNAcentral.
GGUCAUAAACCUAACAAUCUCCACUUGACCCAAACUUCAGUGCAACGAAUGAAGCUCCAAAAUUUUUCUACUUGAAAAAAUAUGUCCAACUGCAUCGAAAUAAUCGAACUCUUUAAAAUAGUAACCAAAACUCUUAAUCACAAAAAGAAAACAUCUUCAUCUGCCCGGUGUCCACAAGCGACACCCGAACCCAACUCUCGAAUUCCCAAAAUUCCACCAAUAAAUUACUGUUGACCAAAUAUGGUCAAAGCACACUUUGUAGCAAAAACCACACCAAAUGCCUAAUUAGAAGGCCCUUUGCUAUAACUUUCACAUUCAAUGAGCAUGAAAGCAUUACAUAUAUUGCUGAUACCGCUGUACCUAUGCUCUAUGAGUCCAAUCCUAGCAACUGAACAUAGUGUAUCCGUUGAAAUUGGUGACAAAACGAAAUCAUCAAUGCUCCCCUGAGCAAUGCUUUAAAUCGACCCAGAGUUCGACACAAGAAGUACUGUAACAAGUUGAAUAUUCACCACGGUACUGAACUUGUACAAAUGUCUCUUAACUGGUGUUGACACACUAAAAGUACAGCUCAAAUCAAAUAGCCCAAAGAGUGAAGCUCAAUUGGGGAAUCCAGGAUAAAGGUCCAAACAGGAUUAUUGAUGAAUGCGGUGGAAGCUCACGAACACGGUAACAUCAUCGCCCAAACUUGCAAAACGCCCAGAAUCUGAGCAAAUGGAGUACCUUACGGUCGCCUAGAGCGAUGACCCCGUUCUCGCCCAAACCUUCGAAUUGCCCAGGAUCUUAGCAAUCAUAAAACAUUAUGGUUAUCCAGAAUAGCAGUUAUAGAGUGAUCUUAUCACAUUCCACGAUUCAAGGAGCCCAGUUGAAGGCGGUUGAACGACAAAGAGUAAUGGUAACAGUUAGAUACGGCAGUUCCACGAUAAGUUAGCCACCAUAAAGAAAGUGGAUAGUUAUACAACAAUCAAGCAAUUUCCAAGGGGUUUGUUAUGAAAAAAUCAUCAAGGGAAUAUAAAAGGAAGAGAAGACAUAGAGAAAAGCUCCCAAAUCAAACACUCUCAAAUAGAGAAUAUGUAAUUUCGGUUUCUUAAUUUAAACUUAAACACUUCUUUUAAUACUCGUGUGCUUGCGCCCCUUGGAGGCAUUAUGUUAUUUCCAAUUGUAAAUCAAUCGCCAAUAAAGUACCCCUUUUUGGGACUUUGUCUCAAGAGUCUGUUCCUUACACAAUUGUCUGAUCCUUUUUUAAUUAUUAGCGACUACCCGCGCGAAACAAUUUGACAUGCCUGGUGGGACAUUGGUGUUUGGUGUUGAAGAUACAAAAGGUGAAACAAUAUGCCUCACAAAUCUGAUAAGGAAGCAGCAAGUCAGGGAGGAGUCCAAUCUGUGAUCGAGCGAUAUGAGGAGCAGCAAAGCUCUCCACGAACAGAGAGAUAGAGUCAGAGCAGUCACAGUCGUUACGAACUAAUGACAGAGUUGAGUCCUUGAACCAUGCGUGCAUUGCUUGGAGAACUCACACAGGAUGUCGUUGAACAGGUAAAUCUACGAAAUGUUCAUAAUAUGGAAAGAUUUACUCAGAAUGAGAAUGCACAUUAUGACAACAUGGCCAAACAACUGAAUACAUUAAAUGAAAUAAUGAAUAAGUUAGUAGGCCAAAUUUGUCAGCCAGUUGUGCCUAUUGCAAAUCACUUUCAAAUUAGGACAAUCGUGGGACAUAAUUUCCCAGUCCUAAGUCCAAAUCAGGGGAUAGAACCACCUUUUGGUCCACC